GACGAACGCUGGCGGCGUGCUUAACACAUGCAAGUCGAACGGAAAGGCCCUGCUUUUGUGGGGUGCUCGAGUGGCGAACGGGUGAGUAACACGUGAGUAACCUGCCCUUGACUUUGGGAUAACUUCAGGAAACUGGGGCUAAUACCGGAUAGGAGCUCCUGCUGCAUGGUGGGGGUUGGAAAGUUUCGGCGGUUGGGGAUGGACUCGCGGCUUAUCAGCUUGUUGGUGGGGUAGUGGCUUACCAAGGCUUUGACGGGUAGCCGGCCUGAGAGGGUGACCGGCCACAUUGGGACUGAGAUACGGCCCAGACUCUUACGGGAGGCAGCAGUGGGGAAUAUUGCACAAUGGGCGGAAGCCUGAUGCAGCAACGCCGCGUGCGGGAUGACGGCCUUCGGGUUGUAAACCGCUUUCGCCUGUGACGAAGCGUGAGUGACGGUAAUGGGUAAAGAAGCACCGGCUAACCACGUG
This 468-nucleotide ribosomal RNA is filed under the name uncultured bacterium. RNAcentral describes it as "partial 16S ribosomal RNA". It matches the Rfam family "Bacterial small subunit ribosomal RNA", at positions 28 to 507 of the family's 1533-position model. The record is from RNAcentral.